RNAcentral lists this ribosomal RNA (1693 nucleotides) under groundwater metagenome. RNAcentral's name for it is "bacterial LSU rRNA". It matches the Rfam family "Bacterial large subunit ribosomal RNA", at positions 611 to 2281 of the family's 2925-position model. The record is from RNAcentral.
AAGAAUGAGCCAACGAGUUUGUGUAUGUUGCAAGUUUAAUUCCGCUGAGCGGAAGAAGGCGUAGGGAAACCAAGUCUUAAUAGGGCGAUAUUCCUAUUAUAUCGAUAUUCCGUUUAUCCAUAAGGUAAACUGGCAUAUCGAUAUAGUAGGACAAGCAGCAUGCUCAAAGCACGAAACCGUGUGAGCUAGCCAUGGCCAGGGUGAACUUCGCCGAAAAACGAAGGGAGGCCCGAACCCACCAGUUGUGCAAAACUGGGGGAUGAGCUGUGGCUAGGGGAGAAAUUCCAAUCGAACUCGGUAAUAGCUUGUUUUCCUCGAAAUAGUUUUAGGACUAGCCUCUCUGUGAUACCCGGGGGUAGAGCACUGAAUGGGAACGGGUGGAGCAAUCCUACCGUUCCCAACCAAACUCCGAAUACCGGUCAUAUUAUACAGGGGGAGUAAGACUAUGGGCGCUAAGGUCCAUCAGUCAAAAGGGGAACAGCCCAGACCGCCAUCUAAGGUCCCUAAAUUCACGCUAAGUGUAAAAGGUGGUAUAUCGACUUAAACAACCAGGAGGUUGGCUUAGAGGCAGCCAUCCUUUAAAGAAAGCGUAAUAGCUCACUGGUCGAGUUGAUAUGCGCCGAAAAUAUACCGGGGCUAAGCGUGGUACCGAAGGUGCGGAUUCCUAUCUUUAUUGAUAGGGAUGGUAGAGGAACGUUCUGAAUUGCGUUGAAGCCGUUUCGUGAGGAACGGUGGAGUAUUCAGAAGCGCGAAUGUUGGCAUAAGUAGCAAAAAUUGAGAUGAGAACUCUCAACAUCGAAAAUCCAAGGUUUCCUGGGCAACGCAAAUCGACCCAGGGUUAGUCGAUCCUAAGGCCAGUCCCUGCGUAUGUGGGGGGUAACCGAUGGACACCAGGUUAAUAUUCCUGGACUACUGUGAUAUUUUGAGCGGGGACAUUUUUUCAAGUUCUAAGCGUAUUUUGGCUAUGUGCGUCCAAUCCCGGUGCUGAACCGGGAGAGUGCAAGCGAGGGGUAACACCCUUGCGAGUUAGGAGGAGAAAGAAUCAAGAAAAGCCGUACUCAAGUUAAUUUCAUAGUAUUCGUACCGCAAACCGACACAGGUGGAUGAGCUGAGUAUGCUCAGAUGUACGGGAGAACCCUUGUUCAGGAACUCGGCAAAAAAGCUAGGCGUAACUUCGGGAUAUGCCUCCCCCUAUUCGUAGGGGCGCAGCGAACGUUUAUUUUGUGACUGUUUAUCAAAAACAUAGGUCUCUGCAAAACCGUAAGGUGAUGUAUAGGGGCUGAUGCCUGGCCAGUGUCAGAACGUUAAAGGGAUGAGUUAACCGGAUUUAUCCGGAAGGCUUUGAACUGAAGCGCUGAUGAACGCCGGCCGUAACUAUAACGGUCCUAAGGUAGCGAAAUUCCUUGUCGGGUGAGUUCCGACCUGCACGAAUGGCAUAACAACAGAAUAACUGUCUUAACAAGGGACCCGGCGAAAUUGCAAGAGGAGUGAAGAUGCUCUUUACCCGCGGCUGGACGAAAAGACCCCAUGAAGCUUUACUACAGUUUGAUAUUGGAUUAUGACUUAUCAUGUUCAGUAUAGGUGGGAGCCGCAAGGCACCAAUGAGAUACCACCCUUGAUACGUCGUAAUUCUUGAUCCGUCUUAGUGAAUCCUAAGAGGAGACAGUAUCUGACGGGUAGUUUGACUGGGGCG